CCUACGGGAGGCAGCAGUGAGGAAUAUUGGUCAAUGGACGAGAGUCUGAACCAGCCAAGUAGCGUGAAGGAUGACUGCCCUAUGGGUUGUAAACUUCUUUUAUAAAGGAAUAAAACGAGGCACGUGUGCCUUUUUGCAUGUACUUUAUGAAUAAGGAUCGGCUAACUCCGUGCCAGCAGCCGCGGUAAUACGGAGGAUCCGAGCGUUAUCCGGAUUUAUUGGGUUUAAAGGGAGCGUAGAUGGGUUGUUAAGUCAGUUGUGAAAGUUUGCGGCUCAACCGUAAAAUUGCAAUUGAUACUGGCAGUCGUGAGUACAGUUGAGGUAGGCGGAAUUCGUGGGGUAGCGGUGAAAUGCUUAGAUAUCACGAAGAACCCCGAUUGCGAAGGCAGCUUACUAAACUGUGACUGACAUUGAUGCUCGAAAGUGUGGGUAUCAAACAGGAUUAGAUACCCUUGUAGGC
Molecule: ribosomal RNA, 460 nt
Filed under: uncultured bacterium
Lineage: Bacteria
Description: partial 16S ribosomal RNA
Rfam family: Bacterial small subunit ribosomal RNA
Source: RNAcentral